AGCCCGCGGCGCAGCGGCCGCCACGCUGCGCCCCGAGGCCCAGCCGCUGCGGCGCCGGCGGGAGCAGCGGCCGACCGCCGAUUAGUUUUAUCUCGGAACGUCAAUUGACUUAUACUGAUUGGCUUCCUGCCGCCAAAUGUCAAUUAAAUUGCAAAUGUUCAGCGGAGGCCCAGCGCGGGCCGCGAUGGCAGGCGGCCCCUUCCCGAGGGCGCCCGGUGCUGCCGCGGCGGGUUUGAGCUUUCCUUCGAAGCGGCAUGACCGAGCCUUCCCGGGUCAGCAACCCUCAGGCCCCGCCUAGGAAUUGGAGGGGUCGACCCACGGAAGCCGAACAAGCCUGUCUUGGAGUAACUCCUGCUUCUGAGAAGAGGGACCUUUGCUAGGUGACAAGGCUGGGUCUUGGGAUGUAACUUCUGGCAUGGUAUUUAAUAAACUCCCUCUCGCUGCUCCCGCCUGGUUUUCCUCACCAGCCAAGGCUCAGAAGAACUUGGAUGCUUGGAAUCUUCAAGUUUGAGUGUGCUGUAGGAAAUUCUGUCUGGUGCCCUGGGCUUCACAACCUUCUGAAGCAGAUUCUGUUUGCUGGCUUGCUUUGCUUUGAAACAAGGUCUCCUGUAUUCCAACCUGACCUGGACCAUCCUAUGUAACGGAGGAUAACCUGGAACUUCUGAUGUUCCUGCCUCCACUCUCUGAGACCUGGGAUUACAGGUGUGCACCACCAUGACCUUUUUGUGUGGUUCUAGGGAUAAAAGGGGCUACGACUCCAGGAGACACUAUUUUUUGUUACCGUUGUUGGGGUUCUGUUUUGGUUUGUGGCAGGCUCUCUCUAUGGAGGCCUGGAAUUGGUGAUCUGCCCGCCUCCAUCCUCUCCUAUUAGAAUUGUAGGUGGGGACCACCAAGAUUGACUCCUGAAAAGUCCUGGCCACUGCUCUCUCCGAGAGAGUGACUAGGGCACAAGGCAGGGAAGUCAUCCCAGAGUUCCCAAAGACAAGUGACCUUGGGACCUGCAUUCCUCCAGAGCUUUGGUUUCACUGUUUGCUCACAGUGGACGGACAACCGGACAACCAUCAAUGCUCUCUGCCUGCAUAGAGUACCAUCACUCCCAGAGCACUUUCCUGUGUUCUGGGGCUCACUAAACUUGCCAGGACUCCAAAGGAAUCACUCAGUCUCUCUUUGAUGGUGUUGGGAUUUCAGAUGUGCACCACCACACCUGGCUGAGCUCUUCCUUUUCUGAAGAAAGAAGAUGAUGGGAUACUGGUCCGGGUUGGCCUAGCAGGUGUAUCUGCGGCCCUGUCAGAGAUCCUUCCCCUCUCUAGAGCUCAGCCUCCACCCGUGGGACAGAAGAACUGAACCAGGCAACCUGUCUGUCCUCUGGCAGUGCUCCCACAUUGGUUUCUUGGCCCUAAGGACUCCACAAAUAAGAUUAAUGCACCCACCAGGGGAAUCAGCAAGGGAGAGUGUGUGUGUCACUGAAGGGUUGAAGUGCUGUUGCCCAGAGAAAAGCACUUGGCUUGGCUUCACCAGGAAGCCAGCUCAGAUCCAUCCCAUGGGGAGGAGCUUAGCUGCAUGGCUUGUGGCUGUUUCCAGAGUUUGCCAUGUUGUCCAAGGAUGACAACACGAAGAAGAAACACCAGAAAGUUGGCCAAAGACCAAGAAGCCAGUAAACAAAUGUGAGGCAAAGUCACAAUAGGUGAUCCAAAGGCAAAGUUCAGGACCAAGUCAUCCACCUGGUCCUAUUUGACAAACUCUGUAGACAGUGCCCAACUAAGAACCACUCCAGCUGUGCUCUCUGAGAGACUGAAGGUUCCAGGUUCCCUGGCCAGAGCAGCCUUCAGGAGUGUCUUAGCAGAAGAUGCAUCCACCUGACUUCAAAGCUCAAAGCCCAUGUCAUCCUCACCAGAAACACAAAGAAUAGAGAUGCCCUAGCUAACGCCAAAGACACCAGAGUACAUUCAACAGACAGGAUAUUUGAAAAAAGUAAAACUUUAUUAAACUAAAACCAACAAACUUCGUCACAGAAAGGACCCACAUAGCUGGGAGCCAGAAGGGUCCCAGUUUGCCUUUCUAGAGUCUUUGUUGCAGUUCCAGCAUGAACCUCACUAUGACCUUGAGCAAGACUGCUCCAUUGUGGCCUCAGCUCAGACACGGAGUUCCCAUAAAUUGUUCUUUGAUUAUUUUAAGUAAUCAAAUACUUUUCAUAAAAAUAUUAAAACUUUGCAGGAAGGCUCUCAGUAUUUAAAGAUCGAGGCUGCAUUGACUCCUCUUUCCCCGAAGCCUGGCAGCUCUGACACUCUCCAGGAGCAUGGGGAGGGAGCCCUGAUAGGGAGCUUCCAGCAGGAUCAGUGGGAGCCUCCAGACACCACUAGCAUGGCACAUCUUUGAACACAGAGCAAAGAUAACCCAAAGUCCCUGGAAAUGGGUGAGGCGUGAUAUCAUAAAAGAUGGACUUUCUCUAGAAGAGUUCUGUUCCUGGCUCGAACUGCUCGUGUUUAACGGGACACUUGGUAGAGCUUUAUGUCAUUAUUAAAGUACUCUGUGUUCAUCAUAGGCUACUUUUCAUUUUUCUGUGUAUGAGCAUGUGUCUGCACACUCCCGUGCACAUCGUGUGAGUGUGUGUGGAGGCCAAGAGACAACCUCGGAUGUUGUUACUCGGGGUAGGCUGGCUAGCCAGUGACCCAGAGGGUCUGUCUUCCCCCUCCUUCGCCAUAUGGGCUCCAAAGAUCAAGCAAACACUCAGGUUGGUGGCAAGCACCAUCCCUUGGCUGAGCCACCUCACAGAACUCUACCAAGCUUUCAUAAAUGUGGAUUCUAAGGACUCAAAAUCAGGUGCUUGUUCUCACAGGGCAAGCCCUUUGCCCCCUGAGCCAUUUCCCCAGGUCCACUAUAGACUGUGUGGAUAACAUAUAAGUAUAAUAAAGAUAUCUAUGAGGUGUGGUGCUGCAAGUCUGUAAUCCCAGAACUUGGAAAGCUGAGACACAAAAGACUGAAAGUUUGAGGCCAGCCUGAACUAUCAAGACCCCAUCUC
Molecule: long non-coding RNA, 3019 nt
Filed under: Mus pahari (shrew mouse)
Lineage: Eukaryota; Metazoa; Chordata; Mammalia; Rodentia; Muridae
Description: predicted gene 12462 (MGP_PahariEiJ_G0003138.1)
Source: RNAcentral